GUAGGUGAACCUGCGGAAGGAUCAUUACUAGAGCAAAGAACAGACAGCGCCCCACAGGAGCUUGCUCCGUGGAGGGCUACCCUACUUGUAGGGUUUAGAGUCGUCGGACCUCUCGAAGAAGUCCGGUUCUGAACUCCACCCUUGAAUAAAUUACCUUUGUUGCUUUGGCAGGCCGCCUCGUGCCAGCGGCUUCGGCUGUUGAGUGCCUGCCAGAGGACCACAACUCUUGUUUUUAGUGAUGUCUGAGUACUAUAUAAUAGUUAAAACUUUCAACAACGGAUCUCUUGGUUCUG
Molecule: unclassified non-coding RNA, 293 nt
Filed under: rhizosphere metagenome
Description: partial ribosomal RNA internal transcribed spacer region
Source: RNAcentral